UUUAAUUAAAACCGUACUCUAAACCGACACAGGUGAACUGAUUUAGUAAAUUAAGAUGAUUGAGUUAAUUAUAUUGAAGGAACUCGGCAAAAUGACUCCGUAACUUCGGGAUAAGGAGUGACUAUAUUUGGGAAACCUUUUAUAGUUGUCACAAAAUCGAGGACAGCGACUGUUUAUUAAAAACACAGGUCUCUGCGAAUUCGUAAGAAAAUGUAUAGAGACUGACGCCUGCCCAGUGCUGCAAGAUUAAUAGAAAAAGUAUUUGCUUUGACUAGAAACCCCAGUAAACGGCGGCUGUAAUUCUGACGGUCCAAAGGUAGCGAAAUUCCUUGGCAUUUAAUUGGUGUCCUGCAUGAAUGGCGUAACGACUGUCCUACUGUCUCCAAUGUAAUCUCAGUGAAAUUGAAUUCUCCGUGAAGAUGCGGAGUACCUACGGCUAGACGGAAAGACCCCGUGCACCUUUACUAUAGUUAGGCAUUGUAACAAUGAAUUUUUUGUGUAGAAUAAGUGGAAAGUUUUUUUUAAAGUUUUUACGCCAGUAAUUUACUUAAAACGACAGUUGAAAUACCACUCUAAAAAUUUUUUUGUUACUCAUUUUUAAAUAAAGACAUUGUUUAAUGGGUAGUUUGACUGGGGCGGUCGCCUCCUAAAGAGUAACGGAGGCGCACUAAGGUAAGUUCAAAUUGAUAAAUAUCAAUUUUAGAGCGUAAUAGUAUAUGCUUGCUUGACUGUAAGAUUGACAAAUCGAACAGGGACGAAAGUCGGUUAUAGUGAUCCGGUGAUUCUGUGUGGAAACGAUCAUCGCUCAACGGAUAAAAGGUACGCCGGGGAUAACAGGCUAAUCACCCUCUAGAGACCCUAUCGACGGGGUGGUUUGGCACCUCGAUGUUGGAUUAUCACAUCCUGAAGCUGAAGAAGGUUUCAAGGGUUUGGCUGUUCGCCAAUUAACGUGGUACAUGAUCUGAGUUUAGAACGUCGUGAGACAGUUUGGUCCCUAUCUACCGUAGGCAUUAUAAAAAGUGAAAGGAUUAAACCCUAGUACGAGAGGACCGGGAAAAGUAAACCUCUGGUGAAUCGGUUGUUAUACCAUUAGCAUAGCCGAGUAGCUAAGUUUAUAAUAGAUAAUCAUUAAAAGCAUUAAGUGAGAAACUAGCCUUAAGAUACUUUUUAAUUAAAACGUUAAAGAUGAUAACGUAAUAGGUUUGAUGUGUAAGAAUUGUAAAA
Molecule: ribosomal RNA, 1224 nt
Filed under: marine metagenome
Description: bacterial LSU rRNA
Rfam family: Bacterial large subunit ribosomal RNA
Source: RNAcentral